Molecule: ribosomal RNA, 704 nt
Filed under: Halorubrum sp. S1FP10
Lineage: Archaea; Methanobacteriati; Methanobacteriota; Halobacteria; Halobacteriales; Haloferacaceae
Description: bacterial SSU rRNA
Rfam family: Archaeal small subunit ribosomal RNA
Source: RNAcentral
UUAGUUUCUGGACGACUAGCCAUGCUAGUUGCACGAGUUCAGACUCGUAGCGAAUAGCUCAGUAACACGUGGCCCAAUUACCCUUCGGAGCACCAUACCCUCGGGAAACUGAGGCUAAUAGUGCAUACCACAGUCCACCUGGAAUGAGGACUGUGCCAAACGCUCCGGCGCCGAAAGAUGUGGCUGCGGACGAUUAGGUAGACGGUGGGGUAACGGCCCACCGUGCCAAUAAUCGGUACGGGUGGUGAGAGCCAGAACCCGGAGACGGAAUCUGAGACAAGAUUCCGGGCCCUACGGGGCGCAGCAGGCGCGAAACCUUUACACUGCACGACAGUGCGAUAAGGGGAUCCCAAGUGCGUAGGCUUAGAGCCUACGCUUUUGUCCACCGUAGGGAGGUGGACGAAUAAGGGCUGGGCAAGACCGGUGCCAGCCGCCGCGGUAAUACCGGCAGCCCAAGUGAUGGCCGAUCUUAUUGGGCCUAAAGCGUCCGUAGCUGGCCGCGCAAGUCCAUCGGGAAAUCCACCCGCCCAACGGGUGGCCGUCCGGUGGAAACUGCGUGGCUUGUGACCGGAAGGCGCGACGGGUACGUCCGGGGUAGGAGUGAAAUCCCGUAAUCCUGGACGGACCGCCGAUGGCGAAAGCACGUCGCGAGAACGGAUCCGACAGUGAGGGACGAAAGCCAGGGUCUCGAACCGGAUUAGAUA